GUAGAAAGGGACCUGAUAUUCAAUAAGCCAAGCUUAAGAUUUGUUUAUCUGUAUUGCACCUGUUUUUUUAUUUGUUGAACCUCAAAUUAAAUUGUUGCUCUUAAAUUGGUUUUGGACGUUUUUUGUAUUUUCUAGUUCGGGGAACAGACACAAUCUCUAUAGUGUCUAUAGUAUACUGUAUACUGUAGCUAUUGUGAUGCAAUGUGUCUCUGGUGUUAGGCCAGGCCCAGUUGGAGAAAUGGAGUUUCGAAAACCCAGAAAUUCAACAAGAAUUUCGUAUGAAAUUCUCUCUACAAGGCGCUGGAUGGGUGUACAAAGACUUUCCCCCUUCACUUGCACCCUUGGUAACAACAAUGGGCAUGUCAGCUGAUGUCCCGUUAGUCCAGUCUGCUUUUGGAGUUGUCCAGGCAGGGAGCGUGCUGUCAUUUCAGCAUAAACCACCAGCAAUGAGGGAAGUCUUCAACAUCCCAUCUGCCCCUGCCUCACCCUCCCUUCCCAUCCACAGCUACAGGCUCGAACCACCAUCCUGUGCCUAUGUUCUAUCAGAGAAGGAACAUCUGCACCUGAAGUCUCUGGAGAUGUCAUUCAACAUGGCCCACAGGAUAGAAGCUGCAACACAAGGGCAGAGUUCAUGCCAGGAGUGGCAUCGUUUGAGAAAGAUUAGAGUAAUGUCUACUCGCUUGCACGAGAUGUACCUGUACAUCUGCAGAGAAUCUGGCUAAGAGAAUUCUCAGGGGGACUGGUCAGAUCACGGACAUGAGGAGAGGUAUUGAUAUGGAGUCACUCGCUGUCAAAGAGUAUUGCACUCUUAAAAAUGUGAACUGUUCACCCUGCGGGUUCAUUGUACAUCCUGGCUAGGUAGCUUUCCUGAUGGAGUCAUUUUGAACCCUCUGGGAACCCACCAUUUGGUCUCCUUGAGGUCAAAUGUCCCAAUAUCCAGAGCUAUGUGGACUGCCCCUAUCUAAAAAUGUCCGGUGGUGCUUUGAAACUCAGGUAGGCAGCACAAGUACUACUGGCAAGUUCAAAGUCAGAUGCUCUUGACAGGGCUAGAGUGGUGUGAUUUUGUUGUUUGUGCUCAGAAAGACAUGUUAGUCGAGCAAAUUUAUAAAGAUCUUGAUGUAAUGCACACCAUUAGAGACAGAGCCUAUCAUUUUUUUCUUUUUCUUUAACUACAUACAGAAGUGUUUGCAGUAAGUCACUUCAAUGGCCUUGGGCAUAGUAUCUUUCAAUAAGUUUAAUCAGUUUCAAUCAGUUAAUCAAUCAGUUUCUAUCGGUUCAGUGAGUUCAGGUGUUAUUGUUUAUUUUUGCAAAUCUAUACAAUAUCUGAACUGAUUUAUUGUUCAUUUUUGCGAGUCUCUACAGUAUUCGAACUGAUCUGUUGUUCAUGUCUGCAAGUCUAUAUAAUAUCCAAACUGAUCUACUGUUCAUGUUAGGAACGCUAUACAAAAUGGAAAUUGUUACUUAGUAUACAGUACACAUACUGUUAUUACAAAUUUAUAAAGAUCUUGAUGUAAUGCACACCAUUAGAGACAGAGCCUAUCAUUUUUUUCUUUUUCUUUAACUACAUACAGAAGUGUUUGCAGUAAGUCACUUCAAUGGCCUUGGGCAUAGUAUCUUUCAAUAAGUUUAAUCAGUUUCAAUCAGUUAAUCAAUCAGUUUCUAUCGGUUCAGUGAGUUCAGGUGUUAUUGUUUAUUUUUGCAAAUCUAUACAAUAUCUGAACUGAUUUAUUGUUCAUUUUUGCGAGUCUCUACAGUAUUCGAACUGAUCUGUUGUUCAUGUCUGCAAGUCUAUAUAAUAUCCAAACUGAUCUACUGUUCAUGUUAGGAACGCUAUACAAAAUGGAAAUUGUUACUUAGUAUACAGUACACAUACUGUUAUUAUUUUACUGUUACACUGUAUACUGCUGUUGUUCACAGAUAUUUUUGUACUGUUACAUAACUGUGAGUGUAGACUAGCAUACAGUAGUACAGCUUUUCCCAAAGUGCCAAUGGACCAUCAAGUUACUGUUGAUGGGCUCUGACAGGGAUUUUGUGUACGUUUUUAUUUAUUUUCUUGGUUUAUUGCGAAGGAAUGUUGUAGGUAACAAAUGUAAUUCAUAAAUAUAACUUAUGACUCAAUAUUCAAAUAAAUAGAAAAUACUGUAUCUUAGUCUUGUCUUU
Molecule: long non-coding RNA, 2160 nt
Organism: Cyprinus carpio (common carp)
Lineage: Eukaryota; Metazoa; Chordata; Actinopteri; Cypriniformes; Cyprinidae
Source: Ensembl